UACGAAGGGGGCUAGCGUUGCUCGGAAUCACUGGGCGUAAAGCGCACGUAGGCGGAUCUUUAAGUCGGGGGUGAAAUCCUGGAGCUCAACUCCAGAACUGCCUUCGAUACUGGGAAACUUGAGUCCGGGAGAGGUGAGUGGAACUGCGAGUGUAGAGGUGAAAUUCGUAGAUAUUCGCAAGAACACCAGUGGCGAAGGCGGCUCACUGGCCCGGUACUGACGCUGAGGUGCGAAAGCGUGGGGAGCAAACAGG
This 253-nucleotide ribosomal RNA is filed under the name uncultured bacterium. Its description in RNAcentral is "partial 16S ribosomal RNA". It matches the Rfam family "Bacterial small subunit ribosomal RNA", at positions 524 to 776 of the family's 1533-position model. The record is from RNAcentral.